Molecule: long non-coding RNA, 2042 nt
Filed under: Bemisia tabaci
Lineage: Eukaryota; Metazoa; Arthropoda; Insecta; Hemiptera; Aleyrodidae
Description: lncRNA ENSSSA3NGG006518
Source: RNAcentral
GCGAGGUUGGAGGCACGACGCGACGGCUGGAUGCAACUAUUCGUACCCAGUGACUGUCCGUGUUGCAUACUGUAAAACUGAAGGCGCUCCUUGCCCCUCGCCAGAGCAAUGUGCGGAUGAAGCUAUCAAACUCAUUUACGUACUGCUGCUACUGUUGCCUAUAUUCCUUCUAGGCUUCAAAAACGUAGCUGCGAGUAUAGGCCAUGGUCCAGGCCUUCUUCCAGCUCCUCUUGUUGUCGGCUGGACCAAGUACGUCCCUCAGGCGGUGCCACCUCACGCCUGGACCUCCACGUACCUCAACACUGGCAUCCGGGUCCUCCCUGCGCCUCCUUACUAUGCCCCAGCUUAUCCCCAUCCGGUUCCCGUACCCUACCCAGCCCAACCUCUCAUCCCUGCUACACCUGUCCCCACCCUAAACGCCGCAACCCCUCUAGUACCCACUCCUACCUUCAAUUCUGCCCCUCCUCCACCCCUCACUCCUGCUUUCAACCCACAACACCACUCUUUCCUACCCCUACGUUUAACUCUGCCCCUCUCCCCACCCCAACUUCAACUCUCCAAGACCCUUCAUACCUACCCCAGCUUUCAACUCUCCAAGACCCUUCUUGCCUACCCCCGCUUUCAGCUACGCUCCAUCCUUCCCCACCCCGGUUUUCAACUCUCUUCCACCCUUCACCCCCACUCCGAUCUCACCCCCACCAACAUUCAGAGGAAAUCCGGUUUUCAAGUCACCAUAUCCGGUUCCCUUCCCGCGACCAGUAGAGCCAGGACCAGACUCGAGGGUGCCCGUGUCACCUUCGGGUAAUUUGUUCGCGUCUCCCGGAUUUCAAGGUAAUUUCGCUUCACCUUACGUGAGCCACCCCAGUGUUGGGGGCCCCCCUCGGCCGUACCCUAUCCGGGGCCCUCCUCCCUCAUAUAGCGUGACUGAGCUUGAGCCUGAAGAUACGUAUGGGCCCCCUCCUAACCCUUACGUCGGCAAGUACCGCUCUGCACCUUCCGAGAAGUACGGACCACCGUCACGUGUGGAGCCGUUCCGAGAGCACCCUACUCACCCGUCGGUAUCCCAUGUGGUGAGAAUCGUUGCCAGACCAUCGCGGUAUUCGGAGUUUUUCCGAUGAGGUGGUACUUCCGAUUAGACUGGAAGCCUUGCAGAGUUAAAGACUUGACUUGAGAAAUUGUAAAAAAGAGAAAAAAAACUUGUGCAUAUCUUGUAUAGUUACAGUUCCUAUUACCCUAUUAGAGAAAUGUAAUUGAUGUAUUUUUGUAAUAAACGUUUGAUGUUUUGUUUCAUAUAUUCACGUUUUCUAUUUCCAUUCCAUGCAUGCAUAAAAUUCAUUAAAUGGACUUCAUUAAGCAGAUUGAAACCAAGCCACAUCAGCUAUUGCCAAAUUUAAUUUGACAAUUUAAUUUUUUGCAUGAAAACGGUUGUGCAGAUUUUUGUGCAAAUUUCAGUGAAUUUUCUGCAUAGUAAUGAGACAAAUUCUUCAGAAUUCUCAAUGGAAACCGUAGAGACGUUCUCUUGUAAAAAAUGAAAUUGCCCGGUUUUAUGGCAAUAGCUGAUUUGGAUUGGUUGCUUUCUGCUAAACGCGGUCCAAAUAUGAGAUAGCCUUUUGCACAAAUAAUAAUAAUCGGUAACGGUCAUAGAAAACUCUGUAACAAGGGCUCUAGAGAUUUCCUGUUACGUUUAUGGAAUUUUUUGUUUUGCGAGCACACAGUGUUUUUAGCUCACACUCCAAGUUUGGGCCUUAUGACAGGGACAUGCAUUGCAACCGGGAGGCCUCUAAAAUUUUGAAAUACAUUUGUUUUAUUUCCAACGCCAACUAUUAAUUUUAUUUUAUCGCAUAAAAGUUACGGAUAAGUUGAGGAUUAAGUGGCAUAGUAAGUACUCUGGAGCUGUCAUUUUAAACCAGUUAAAAAAAAUCUGAAACUCGGACUUGGUCUCAAAGUUGAGUAGGGCGAGUCUUAGAGGGUUUGUAAACAUUUCUUCCUUAAAGGUUAUUUAAAUGAAGGUGCGCAUUUUUCUUUGAAAAUCUGAAUGUGGC